This 502-nucleotide ribosomal RNA is filed under the name uncultured bacterium. Its description in RNAcentral is "partial 16S ribosomal RNA". It matches the Rfam family "Bacterial small subunit ribosomal RNA", at positions 28 to 507 of the family's 1533-position model. The record is from RNAcentral.
GAUUAACGCUGGCGGCGUGCCUAACACACGCAAGUCGAGCGGCAGCGAGUUUUACACUGAAUUCUGGAAGCUUCUAGUUGAAAGAGAAGAUUUAUUCAAGAAUUUUGUGUAAAAUGUCGGCGAGCGGCGGACGGCUGAGUAACGCGUGGGAACGUACCCCAAAGUGAGGGAUAACGCAUCGAAAGGUGUGCUAAUACCGCAUAUGGUCUUCGGAUUAAAGCCUUCGGGCGCUUUGGGAACGGCCUGCGUAAGAUUAGAUAGUUGGUGGGGUAAUGGCCUACCAAGUCGACGAUCUUUAACUGGUUUGAGAGGAUGAUCAGUCAGACUGGAACUGAGACACGGUCCAGACUCCUACGGGAGGCAGCAGUGAGGAAUCUUCCACAAUGGGCGAAAGCCUGAUGGAGCAACGCCGCGUGCAGGAUGAAGGCCUUCGGGUUGUAAACUGCUUUUAUAAGUGAGGAUUAUGACAGUAACUUAUGAAUAAGGAUCGGCUAACUACGUG